RNA transcript from Haplochromis burtoni (Burton's mouthbrooder), 4434 nucleotides. It is a transcript of the gene named protein tweety homolog 2-like, with no coding region annotated. NCBI's taxonomy places the organism in Eukaryota, Metazoa, Chordata, Actinopteri, Cichliformes, Cichlidae. The transcript has 14 exons. The record is from RefSeq and is a predicted model, not a curated record.
CGACUUAGUAAGCUGUCACGCCUUCUGAAGGAGGCAGGUUUAUGUCGUCACACGAUCCCUUGUCUGGGAUGCAAAUGUUUGGCCCACAGUGUAUAUGUUUUCUUUUUUUUUCUAGUUGUAAGACAGCAGUUCAUUCACAACUAUGGGAGCCGAGGUGGAAAAUAGUGACACUCAGCCAAAAGAAGAAGUUCCGCUUUGAGACUUUGUGGUAAUUUCACAGAUUGGAAGUCUAUGGGUAGUGCAUCUUUUAUAUUUUAUUUAUUUAGUUAGUUUAUUUAUUAUUUUCAGUUUUUUUUAUUAUCAUUAUUUUACUUUUCAUCAAACCCAGGAAUAUUUCAGUGCCAACAUCUCUGAAGGAAGCCCGUCGUCAGUGGUUUUGGCGGAUUGACUUUUCCACGAAGUAGUAAUGGCUACUGCAAGGACUGAUUAUGUUGCUCCAUGGUGGACUUACUGGCUGCACAAUUUCCCUCACUUCAAUUUCUUUUUCCAGACGGUCGACAGCACUUUCAAACCGGAGGAGGCGAGCUAUCAGCAGUCUUUGAUAAUUCUAGCAUGUGUUGGUGCAGUUGGUCUUGGGGUGAGCCUGCUGGUUCUGGCAGUAUACGUGGUGUGCUUGUGCUGCUGCCGCAGGGACAUCGAUGAAGACACCAAAAGGCCUGAUACCUGCUGUGUCACCUGGGUUGCCGUCAUCACAGGUCUCAUCAUAUGUUCUGCUGUUGGAGUGGGUUUCUAUGGGAACAGUGAAACCAACGAUGGGGUGUACCAGAUGAACUAUUCACUCUACAAUGCCAAUCGCACACUGGGUAACAUCAACAAUCUGGUUGCAGGCUCACUGGGCAAUGUGGAAACUGCACUCAAACAGCACCUGGAACGCCUGGAUGAGAUCUUUUCUACAAGGCCUGACUACCUUCAAGCUUUACGUUUUAUGCAGCUGAUGGUCAACAAUGUCAUCCGUGAGCUGACUGUUCUUCCAGACAUCAACAAAACCAAUUUCGACUUGGCAGCCAUUGCAGACCAGACAGCCUUCAUUGAGUAUUACAGAUGGCUGAUUUAUUUGCUGCUACUGAUCCUGGAUCUGGUUAUCUGCUUGGCCAUGUGCUUGGGUAUGGCCAAGCAUUCUCAGUAUCUGCUGAUCAUGAUCAUUGGUUUUGUUAUACUAUCUCUGAUUCUGAGCUGGGCCUCACUGGGAGUUGACACUGCUACAGCUGUGGGUAUAAGUGACUUUUGUGUGUCUCCAGACAAGUUUAUUGUCAACCAUACCAAGGAUUUUCUAAGUGCAGAUGUUGCACACUAUUAUUUGUUUUGCAGUCCGAAUCUACCAAACCCGUUUCAACAGUCUUUGACAACUUGCCAGCGCUCCCUGACUACCAUGCAAAUCCAGAUUCAAGGCUUGCUGCAGUUCUCUGUGCGGGUCUUUCCCACUGCUGAGAGAGACCUUUUGGGAAUCCAACGACUAUUAAACUCAACAGAGUUCAGUCUACACAAGCUAACAGCCUUGCUGGACUGCCGUGGGCUACAUAAGGACUAUCUUGAUACCCUCAUGGGUGUGUGCUAUGAUGGGGUGGAAGGGCUCCUCUACCUCUCUUUGUUUUCUCUUCUGGCUGCCUGCGCACUCUCUGCCAUGCUGUGUGUAAUUUUCCGAGUGUGGACACUAAUGGGCAGCAGGGAAAAAGAGUACGAUGACAUAGAUGAGGAGGAUCCAUUCAACCCCCAAGCUCGUCGGAUAUCCUAUAACCCCCGAAGGUCCAACACGCACAGUUUCUGUAGCUAUACCACAAGCCUUGGCAGCCAGGCCAGCCUUCAUCCACCUCCUCAGUCAACUUCUAGUGUAGUGUCGCCCCCUGAAUACAUGAAUCAGUCCAUGCUGUUUGGAGGAACCCCUCGGUAUGAGAAUGUACCACUGAUAGGGAGAGGAUCCCCGCCUCCCUCGGUGCGUUGGCCCUACGGGGCUCUAGUGUCCCUAGUUUAAUGGCAGUGAUGGCAUAGUUGGCCUCAGCCCCACUACAGUACUAACAAGAAGCAUGUGCCAGAAAUGUAGCAAUGUUGAUACACUGCACAAAACCUCAACAGUUAAUGAAGGGAGUUAUGUUGCUCUGUAAAUGAUGGAAGACUGACAUCUACUGGCUGUUGACUGAAGUGUGUUCAUUUUUAGUGCAUUACUAAUCUAUAACUACAGUCAUAUAUCCUUUUUACAUUUGGUGGUUUUCACUGGACUGUAUUUCUGGUUCUCAAAAAGGAAUAGUUUAGGUCAGAUUAGAGAUCUAAAGAUGAAACGAGCAAUACUGCCAGCUCAAUCUCACAUCAUGUAUCUAUUUUUAAAGGAGGGGCCUCAUAGUCUAGAAGUGCAUGGUGUGCAUCCAAUGCUGGGGCUAAAUGAUAAAUAAUAGAUAGAACACUUGUAAAUCCACAGUUAAAGUCUCUGUUGGUUGGUUUUCUUUUAUAUUAAGUUUUCUGCUUGUGUGGCUGACUCAGUGCUUCAACAGCUUUAACAGUGUGCCAAAGACUUGAAACACCAUUUGAGGUGUGAGAGCGUGAACGUGGACUAUGCUCAAACCUAUUCUUUCCUCUAUAAAUCACAUUUUCAGCAUGCAUCAAGAUGUGUUAUUUGUUCCUGUUACUUAAAUGUUUGCUAUUUUGGAAAACAUAUUUGCAGUACGUUUGUUUUUCUGUUGUUAUUUAAUUUAUUUAAUUUUCUGUGACGUUUCUGUGAUUUUCUUAUCCUUUAUAUAAUCAGUUUCUCAAUAAGGCAUCUAAAUAUUGAAUAUUAACCAAUGUUUUCUACCCACCUUUUUAAAAUGUCCAUUCUUUGACUUAUUGUUUCACUCUUGUCUGACUUAAUUUGCUUGAUUUUUGUAUGUUUCCCCCCCUGCAAACCUUUCUAAUGAUGGUUGCUAUAUGCAAAAUGUUUAUAACUUGUAUCUCAAAGCUCAGGGACCCUUUUAAAGCUCCAUAGUACCUCAGCUUCCUGGCACUGUUUAACCCACAGAGUGUUGCAUUAUUCACCCAGCAUGAGAGCUACCUAUCUAUCCAUGACUGAUGCCCAGAUUAGACACUUUGGGACUGAUUUUCAGGUGUAGCCUGCUGUCUACUGAAUCCCUUUCAGUACUUCAUCUGAGAUGCUAAGCUUCAACCGACAAGGCUGUCGUCACGGUAUAACUCUGUUUGCAGGAGUGACAGCCCGCCGUCCCAAUCUGAGACAUUAAAGCAGGCAAUAUGAGGUAGUUGCCUCACUGACACACUAAUGCAGUCCCUGGAAAGCACUGAAAGUUUUUAAUAUAGAGGACUGUUCAGUUUCAUAUGAAGGCUGUUGUUGUUGUCGUUAUCAUGGUUUAUGGAAAUACUGUUGCUCAAAUGUAAGCUUUUCUAUGAACCAAAAUCCACAGUCUUUGAACUCUUUUCAGUAUUCUGGUGGUGUGCAUGGAUAUAAUCAUCGGUCAGUAUUUUGAUGUAAAGUGAGUGGCUGGCUUCCAUCAUGGCAUUUGAUUUUUUUUUUUUUUGCUUUAUCCUUCUGUUUGGCAGCAAUAUCGUUUCUUUUUUGUCCUUUUUGUAAUUUCCAAGGGUGCGAUUUGAAAGGAUACAGGAAAAUAUGAAUGAGUUAAUAAAACAAAUACCAAGUAUUAUAGUUUUGUUUUCAUUAGCCAAAGAUGCCUUUAACAAAAAGUCAGAUGGGCAUAGAUGAUAAAAUAAUAACUGACUGUUAUCACUAUUAAAGCAAAAUUGGCCAUACAAGUAAUUAUAAAGAAACUUUGGAAUGCAGAACUCAGUGCUACUAGUUAGCUUUUAAAGAAUAAACUGAAUAUGCAAGGAACAUUCUCUACUUUAUUAAAUAAAUGUGUUAUGUCUGUUUGUUUUUUUCUUCAUGUUUGCUAAUGUGUACAGAAAGUCUCAUGAUUAAAUACUAUAUUCAGACUUGUUGAUCCAUUGUUUACUUAUUAGCUCUCCACUGAUGGCUUAGAAAGACCUGCUGCAGUAAUUUCAUUAGUGUGGCUGGGAUUUGGUGUGAUAACCUGUACCUGGAGAUAUAGCAUGGGGCAAUGGGAGUCUUAGAGGCAUGGUUCUCUGUCAGCUCUUUGAAAGAGCAGACUUCUCAAGAAUCAAAAAAUGCACAACACACAACUGCAAACCAGUGUCCUUGAAGUAUUCACCUGUUUCACUUCAAUAUAAUAAAAUUGUUCUUUAUGCUACAAGACUUUGACCACUUCAGAAUCUUAUUCUUCUCUAUGCACCUUGGGAAUAGAAUAAACUGCGUCAGAGAUCCCUAACCUGAUACAUUUCUGGCUGUAGUCAGUGUUGGUGAAAAGUGUGGUCAGAAAUGUUUUCUGUAACACAUUGAUCGGAGAGGCUGCUGUGUCCUGCAGUGCACCUGUAAGUCUAUGUAGUGUUAUAAGUUGAACUGAAAUAAACCAAUAAACUCUUUGCAAGCUGUUGACUUAA